Molecule: ribosomal RNA, 252 nt
Filed under: uncultured bacterium
Lineage: Bacteria
Description: partial 16S ribosomal RNA
Rfam family: Bacterial small subunit ribosomal RNA
Source: RNAcentral
UACAGAGGGUGCAAGCGUUAAUCGGAAUUACUGGGCGUAAAGCGUGCGCAGGCGGUUUUGUAAGCCAGAUGUGAAAUCCCCGGGCUUAACCUGGGAAUGGCAUUUGGGACUGCAAGGCUUGAGUGCGGCAGAGGAGACUGGAAUUCCUGGUGUAGCAGUGAAAUGCGUAGAUAUCAGGAGGAACACCGAUGGCGAAGGCAGGUCUCUGGGCUGACACUGACGCUCAUGCACGAAAGCGUGGGGAGCAAACAG